UGAAAGGUUUGGUCCUGGCCUCAGUAUUAAUUGUAACUAGAAUUAUACAUGCAAGUUUCAGCAUCCCCGUGAGAAUGUCCUCAUUAGUCUAUUAACUCAUCAGGAACUGGUAUCAGGCACACAUGUGUAGCCCAAGACACCUUGCUUAGCCACACCCCUAAGGGAUUUCAGCAGUAAUAAACAUUGACUUAUGAGCGCAAGCUUGAAUCAGUUAAAGUUUACUGGGUUGGUAAAUCUCGUGCCAGCCACCGCGGUUAUACGAGUAACCCAAAUUAAUAUUUACCCGGCGUAAAGGGUGGUUACAGGAAAAAUCUAUAAAUAACUAAAGUUAAGACUCCAUCAAGCUGUUAUACGCACCCAUGAUUGGAAACAUCAACAACGAAAGUGACUUUAUUAACACUAGAAACCUUGAUCCCACGACGGUUGGGCCCCAAACUAGGAUUAGAUACCCUACUAUGCCCAUCUACAAACUUAGACAAUAAUCUACCAUAUUGUCCGCCAGAGUACUACAAGCGCUAGCUUAAAACCCAAAGGACUUGGCGGUGCUUCAGACCCCCCUAGAGGAGCCUGUUCUAUAACCGAUAAUCCCCGUUAAACCUCACCACUUCUUGCCAGUACCGCCUAUAUACCGCCGUCGUCAGCUAACCUUGUGAAAGAUAAAAAGUAAGCAAAAAGAAUUAAAUUCCAAACGUCAGGUCGAGGUGUAGCGAAUGGAGUGGAAAGAAAUGGGCUACAUUUUCUAUCAAGAAAACACGGACAGUAAAUUGAAAAAACUACUUCAAGGUGGAUUUAACAGUAAGGGAAAAUUAGAGUAUUUCCCUGAAGCCGGCUCUGAAGCGCGCACACACCGCCCGUCACUCUCCUCAAUAAAUCUAUAUCUUUUUAUAAAAAAAUAAUCCAAUCAAGAGGAGGCAAGUCGUAACAUGGUAAGUGCACUGGAAAGUGCACUUGGUAU
RNAcentral lists this non-coding RNA (955 nucleotides) under Squatina japonica (Japanese angelshark). Its description in RNAcentral is "12S ribosomal RNA". It matches the Rfam family "Bacterial small subunit ribosomal RNA". The record is from RNAcentral. Lineage: Eukaryota; Metazoa; Chordata; Chondrichthyes; Squatinidae.